Molecule: ribosomal RNA, 301 nt
Filed under: uncultured bacterium
Lineage: Bacteria
Description: partial 16S ribosomal RNA
Rfam family: Bacterial small subunit ribosomal RNA
Source: RNAcentral
CAGUCGCCACGGUAACACGGAGGGAGCUAGCGUUGUUCGGAAUUACUGGGCGUAAAGCGCACGUAGGCGGUUAUUCAAGUCAGAGGUGAAAGCCCGGGGCUCAACCCCGGAACUGCCUUUGAAACUAGAUGACUAGAAUCUUGGAGAGGUCAGUGGAAUUCCGAGUGUAGAGGUGAAAUUCGUAGAUAUUCGGAAGAACACCAGUGGCGAAGGCGACUGACUGGACAAGUAUUGACGCUGAGGUGCGAAAGCGUGGGGAGCAAACAGGAUUAGAUACCCGCGUAGUCCCUGUCUCUUAUAC